This 465-nucleotide ribosomal RNA is filed under the name uncultured bacterium. Its description in RNAcentral is "partial 16S ribosomal RNA". It matches the Rfam family "Bacterial small subunit ribosomal RNA", at positions 338 to 795 of the family's 1533-position model. The record is from RNAcentral.
CCUACGGGAGGCAGCAGUGGGGAAUUUUGGACAAUGGGCGCAAGCCUGAUCCAGCUAUUCCGCGUGUGGGAAGACGGCCUUCGGGUUGUAAACCACUUUUGUAGAGAACGAAAAGUCUAUUGAUAAUACCGAUAGACGAUGACGGUACUCUAAGAAUAAGCACCGGCUAACUACGUGCCAGAAGCCGCGGUAAUAGGUAGGGUGGGAGCGUUAAUCGGAUUUACUGGGCGUAAAGGGUGUGUAGGUGGUUUUGCAAGAUGGAUGUGAAAGCCCCGGGCUUAACCCGGGAAAGCCAUACGAGACUGCGAGACUAGAGUGCGUCAGAGGGGGGUGGAAUGCCGAGUGUAGCAGUGAAAUGCGUAGAUAUUUGGAAGAACACCGAUGGCGAAGGCAGCCCCCUGGGACGCAACUGACGCUCAUGCACGAAAGCGUGGGGAGCAAACAGGAUUAGAUACCCGUGUAGUC